UGCAGCAUUUCAGAAUAGUCUUUAUGACCUGGCUAAUAUGGUGCCAACAUUAGCAAAAUUCUAUCAUGAAGCCAGUGAAUCUUAUGAACAAGCUUGCACACGCCAUAUCAAUGUGAUUAUAUUCUAUCAAUUUGAGCAACUUUUUCAGUUUGUUCGAAGAAUCGAGGAUUGGAUGUACACAAUCCCGCCUGAAGAGGUUAGGUUA
Molecule: long non-coding RNA, 205 nt
Organism: Solanum pennellii
Lineage: Eukaryota; Viridiplantae; Streptophyta; Magnoliopsida; Solanales; Solanaceae
Exons: 3
Source: RefSeq, a predicted model, not a curated record